Ipomoea nil (Japanese morning glory) is the source of this 615-nucleotide long non-coding RNA. RefSeq lists it as uncharacterized. The transcript is spliced from 4 exons. The record is from RefSeq and is a predicted model, not a curated record. Lineage: Eukaryota; Viridiplantae; Streptophyta; Magnoliopsida; Solanales; Convolvulaceae.
UCUGUCUCGACUAGCCACUCACCCUGCUAGCCUCCGCCACCGCCAUUGCUAGCCUCCACCACCGCUGAUUUGGACGGAUUCGCUCUGUUUUCGCUCAAAAUAUACUCGCCGGAAGAAGUAGAACCUGAGAUUCAAGCUUAUAGCCGACAGACAUCACCUGCCUAAAAUUCCAGCACCAAAAAGAGGUGAUAUUGUUAAGCAGAUUGGUGAUGCACUUAGAGCAAAACUUCACUACUUUGGCCGACUUGUUUCACUUGAAAUGGGGAAAAUACUACCCGAAGGAAUUGGGGAGGUUCAACAAAUUAUUGACAUGUGUGACUUCGCUGUUGGUUUGAGCUGGCAACUAAAUGGAUCAGUCAUACCAUUAGAACGUGAGUCCACUCUUCUUCACCUGCUUAUAUCUGAUUUCUUUUUAAAUGCUCUAGGAGUUAUAUUUGUGAGGAUAUCUUUCUUUUCCUUGUUGUCUCUUCUCUAGAUUAAUUAGCUCUACUUGGUUUUAAGAUAAGGUAGAAGUGAAUCAGAUACAAUCAGAAAAUUUAUGAUCUGGAUAUUGAUAUGUUGCUUCUUCUGGAUUUUUGGGCUUCUUUGCAAUGUUUUUUCAGAAGUUCAAUUUAA